RNAcentral lists this non-coding RNA (24 nucleotides) under Arabidopsis thaliana (thale cress). The record is from RNAcentral. Lineage: Eukaryota; Viridiplantae; Streptophyta; Magnoliopsida; Brassicales; Brassicaceae.
GUAUCCGUGAACCAUCUCAGUGGC